UGCGCACACACGUUUGUGCCUGUGCAUUUGGGUGUUGUUUGCCCGUGUGUGUGUGCGCGUGCAUGUGCAUGUGUGACCCCAGCGGUGGUAGUCGCCAGGCCCCUAGAGAGUUCUUUAACCCCCUAACAGAGUCAGACUGAUUUACAUUGAAAUGGGAGAGUGGCAGGGCCUCUUUAUGGACUGUUUGCUUUUGCUCUAUAGAAAAGCCUGGACUCCACCCCUCUCUGUCACACGCUAGUUUAUGCAUGCGUACGUGCACGCCCAUACACACGCAUAGUCACGGUGGACACAUGGGAAUUCGCCCUGCCGUGGGUCGCACAGUUGCUUUUCCAAACUGUUGUGCUGUUAUGCCCUCUUUAAGGAGCUGGAUUGUGUGUGUGUGUGUGUGUGUGUGUGUGCAUGUGUGUGUGUGUCCGUGCACAUGAGUUAUGAGGGUCAGGCCUGUGUGACUGAAGCCAUGUGGACGUUAGCUGAUUGUUUUUCCACCUCACUCCACAGCUCUCCUACAUUUCUAAUGACUGCUGUCCAGAGCUGAUCUGAGGUCCCACUGGUUCCCAACCAGCCCCACCAGUGUGGGAGUGGUCCCACACUCCAGAUUAACGCGGCCCGGGGCCUCCGUACAGGGAGGAUCAAAAUGUGAACCCGUGCCAGUGCCGGAGAGGGUUCCCAAAGUUGGUGAUGGCUGCCAGAGAGAACUCAGAUGGAUGCUGAGUCUGAGCUACGUGAAACACAGGGAUAAGAUCUGCAGAUAUGAAAGCAGCCUAAUGGCAGACUGGAGAAUUGAGUAUGAAGCGGUGGCAUAAGCGGGCAUACAUUAUCCUUUAGAUACCCUCAGUACUCACACAGCAGAAAAUAAUGUACUGCAUUAUAUAAGACUUAAAUGUAUCUCACAAGACGAGCAUUUUGUUUCCCCCCAGUGUGAAUAAUGACCUGCACUUUAGGUCUCACAACAUCAGAGAGGAAUAACUAUUUAUCUAUCAUUUACGGGUAUGAAGAGAAACCGUAAUCACAUGUGUGUCUGCUUCCUGCAGGCGAGGGGGGCAGGCUGGGUGAGGGUCCCGGAGGGGAUAGGGUAACAGGUGGGCCGAAUGCCAUUCACAAGGGUCAGACCGCACAAUGCCAGCUUCUCCCUUUGAUGCUGAUACCAUCUUCUGUGUGUCUGCUCGGCCCGGGUCCCUAUUUCACCGCUCAGCGACUCUACAUCCACUUGCCUCCGAUUGUGUCGGCGGAACAGCCCCCGGAUCCAAUAACGCAGUCCCGCUGUAAGGAAAUUACCCGUUUUAAUAAUGGCCGUCAACACAUGCCCUGUGGAUAGAAUAUGAAAUAUAUAUAUAUAAUAUUCAGAAUCCAAGUGUGUUUGUGUAGGUGAGCAGCAUCAAAUCCCAUCAGUGAGUUUUAUCAGAGCCUUUAAAAUGUACUUAAUUAACAUUUUUCUAUUGUGAGAGGGCUUUUCGUUUUGUAUUGCCCACGUAAACUAAACUCUUUUGGAGUAGAUCAGAGAAUAUUGACAUUUUAUUCUGGUCAAUUUAAAGGCACUUUAACACAAAAUAUCUCUAGAUCACCUUAAAAUGAAACAAGGGGGAUAUUCAGAGCAUUAAUAUAGCAGCAAACCACUAUUUUCUAUGUAAACGUAUAGUAGAGUAACAUUUAAUGUCACUUGUAACAUCACUGUUAGCAACUGGUGAGAGCCAUAGAGCGGCAAACCCAACGCUCCCAAUCUCAUAAAUAGCACCUUUAACACGGAGUACGUCCUCAUAAGAGCCACACGACUCCACACACGUCCCCCAUGAGUACGCUAAGCCGGCACCACCAGUAAUGUGUUUGUAUGCAGAACAAAUAGGAUUUAAUCCCCGAAGCUGUUAGACUUGUGAGCAUCCACAGUACAUGAAGGGAUCAGCAUUCCUUGUGUAUAGCAUUAUAAAUCAGCUUGCACUUUUGACCCAUCACACUCUCUGGUCUAUGUCAAUUUAAAAAUUGUGCUUUUUAUUUUUUUUUGCGUGUACGUGUGCAUGUGUGUAAAUUCAUUGUAUGUGUAUUUCUGUGCGGUUGGCUGCCUUGGAUUUAAUUUAGAAACUAAAUUAUGUGAGCGAUGACCAUUUUGUCAUUUCCCCGAAUCCCUCGGCUUUUGUUUUGUGCACAGAAAACACAUUAGCCGACUAUCUUCAAUGUGGUUUGACAUGAAAUCCAGGCGACAGUGUAACAACAGCAUAACCACAAGAAAGAAAACAAACCAUUUGUUGCAAAGAUGCAACUCGAUAUCCGCAGAAACGUCUCGCAUUUUCAUUGGCUUAGUGGACCAAUGGCAGCCAUCUAUAGGCGCACGGGACCAUAACAUAGAGACGAGGAACUGAGAGGAAAGACCACGGGAGGAGUUGAUGAGUCAUUGAUGAGACAUACAUUAUUAAUGAGCAUCAUGAUUGCAGAACAAAGAUUGGAAAUACGCAAUGCCAUCUGGACUACGAGUACGAUUUGUCAAAACAAAAGGGAAAAAUUGAAUUUUGAUUAAGUUUAUUACUGGGUCAAGAUCUAAUUCAUACAGCCACUCGUUGCCGUUUUCCCGACUGUGCUUGCGGUCCAGAAAGUGAAUUAUCAUGUUGAAAGGUCAUGGGCAUCCUCACAUUCUGAGCACUUCAGUGCAGUCAUUUACAAUAUUAUGAUAAUGUGCUUCGCCUUUAUUCGAUUGUAAAAGUUUAAUUGCAUUGGAUUGGAUCCACGGGAACAUUGGAAUAGCGUAUGCUGUCUUUAAUAAUCGUACUUUCUAGUGCGAUCACAAAGGGCCGGCCAGUGAGUUUCCCCGGGCAGCAUGUGGAAAGGUUGUGCAGCGGCUACUAGCUUUUAAGUAAAUUAUAAGCUAGGGGUGAUGGCCAAAAUAAGUCAUUCUAUGAUCAAAGCUUAUGCUGAUCCAUUUCUAUAGCAUUUGGGGCCUCACCUCACGUUAGGAACCAAUGCUCCAGCCUCCUUUACUUGUCCUACUAGAUUGUGGUUUCCGUCUCUGCAGCCCUACGGUCUGUUAUAAGGCCUCCCUAAAGCCUAGUUUAUGCUUCUGCGUUUUCAGAGCGACGCAGACGCAAGACCCGCUUGCGUGUCCCUUGAGUCCCUUUUCGCACCUCCUUGCGUCCUUGCGUGUGUCGAGCCAUUUUUCUAGGCUUGCGUCGCUUUUCGUAAAUAUGACCGCUUAUACAAGCCGUCAUUGGCGGCUUGUAGAAGCGUGUUGGAUUCACGGAGGGAGAUCGCCGCAAACGCCGGUUUGCCGGUCGAGAGGUGCACGAAGUUGUGGAGGAAAAUACGGGACAAAUGUGUCCGCGAUGGAAAGCAGCCGUGGCGAUGCACGGGGCAAUAAAGUCUAUGAUACGUAAAUAAACAUACCAACGGCUUCCACACACAAAGACGUGACUCUCCAGCUCGUCUUCAACAGAAACACGUUACUCCGCCUGUUGUUCUGGCGCUGAAUUGCUCUGCAACACACGCAGAACCAUGAAUUGAAACGAGUGCGUCGACGCAACGACGCAGAAGCCCGCGCCGGCCUUUAGGCUCGCCUGUGCAGUAGCAGCAGGGGGCUCGUAUCACUCCUUGCUGCUCGAGCAGGUGUUUUACUGCUGUGGGAGGACUGGCACACGCCCAGAGAUCUUCAGGGAGAGAAAGAGGGGAAAGUGAGGGAUUCUGUUCUGCACCGGGUCAGAGGAAUGCCUAACUGUAAUCAUCUGUGAUGGUAUAAUCGUAGCUCAGUCAAACUACUCCAGGCUGAUAAAUCCCCCCUCUCGUACCGCUGUGCGGUGCACACGCUCGCGCUCUCUCUCUCUCUGAUAUGAGUGAAACUGGCAAUCUGACUUUAAAGAGCCACGUCUCAGCUCCGUCUGAAGAGUCUUUAUCAUUCCAAGAGUUUCCUUUUCCCAAGCUUAUCUAGGAGCGCUCUGCUCAUUUUAAUCUGCGUCUGUGUAUGAAGAGUGUCCCAUCGGGGCUGCCAUACACUGCAAGAUUAAUGAACCCAAUUUGCAAAAGUGACCUUUUGGCUACUAAAGCACUGCCGCUGCUAAGCUUCUUAAUGCCUGCUUUAAAAAAAAAUGUUGUUGUAGAGAGCAACUCUUUGGAUAAGAGCAAGGAAAAUAAGCAGAUCAGGAGUCUGGAUUAAAGUCGUGCCGACGUGGCCGCGGUCACAACCCUCUGAGGACAAGUUUCAGUGAGGAGCUGAGGGAUGAGUGGAGCAUUAAACAAGCAAAUCAGAAGUGAGGAUGAUACUGUCAUGUGUUUACAACUACAAUAUCAGCGUGUCCACAUGCCGGACCGUGCGGGUUCCUCUCUCACAUUUGGUAUUGCAGCGUCGGAUUGCAUAAGAGGCACGAUGUUUCUUUUUUGAUUGAGCGCAGUGGACUGAAAGUCCAGCGUCAAUCGGCCGUUGAUAAAUGUGAGAGAUUUAACGGGUUUCGUAUAAAUUUGGCCCAACGUAACUCCAAAGCUGGGAAAUAAAAUGACGGAGAGCAGGACGGCGAGGAGGGGAUCCUGUUUCUUAGAAUUAAUGAGGUUGUUUUUUGGAACAGGAUGUAAGACACGUCCAGAAAAUCCACCCCACCUCCAUGUUGUCCAAUCAAACGUGGUUUCCAGUCCCGGGUUGCCUCUCUGCGGCUCUCAGCGAGUCGUCCCUGCGGCUCCGGGACAGCUCCGCGCAUACAUUAAAUUAGCCGUAACAAUGGAAAGGACAGUAAGAACCAUGUUGUGAUGGUGGCAAAAUGAUUAAGGCUUCAUUAAACCCUCCUCUUCAGAAACCCACAGUUCCCUCGGGGCGCUCUAAUCUUUUUAAAAUGAACUGACAUACGACUAACGGUCUGAAUUUGAAGGGAUUUUUAACGACAGUCACUUCAACAUUACUUAAUGAGUAGUUAAACUCCACCAUUAGGCCGUUAGUAAAGUAUGCACCAGUCUUUGGAUUUCUCUAACAUUUUGCACCUAAAGAAGGUCAGAAUCCCUUUCAAGGGAUUAAAAGGGACCGCAGAGAAGACAUUUCUAGUUAAAAUAUUUACUUUGAAUAUGAUAUUUUUACUCGAAAAAAGUUUAAACCUCUUCCUCACUUCCUUUACGAGCCGUCUCACAGUCUAAACUCGUCAUGGUACCAUGUACCUCGCAUCACUCGCUCGGAGCAGAAAUAAGAGUCCAAAUUCCAAAACGUGUCUCUACUUUGCAAAAAUAUUCAAUGCCAAAAUCUUUUCCUGGCGACUGUUACAGCGACGGGGCGUUAAAUGGCUCAUAAUGAAUUAUUAACUGAGAUUUGAAUACCAUUUAUCAUGUGCCAUUUCAGCUGCAGUCACAGGUGAGAAAUGGGGGGAAAAUACGGGCGCAUCCUGAAACGUACAAAGCACAGCUUCAGCCAGGCGAAGCCAUUAAAACGUAAGAUUACUGGCACAAAUUGCAAGUGACAAAAUAAACGAAAAAGGACUGGACAGCAGAAAAAACACUUUCAUCUCAGGGGAGACUAACAGGAGCUAUUUCAUGUAAAUUUCUGGUCGUCAAUUUAAAAACCCUUUAGUCUUCAUGUCCCGAAACAGACAAACAUAUUCGGGGGUUUCGAUAUAUUUGCAAAUCCUGCGCCUUCACUGUACCGAAUCGGAAAGGCAUUUGCUGCGUUUUGAAGGUAAAUCCAAUGUAGGAAUGUGGAUAUUAUUUUUCUCUGACAGGCUCUGUGAGCGUUUGCUCAGACAAAUAUGAUGACGGAGGCCCUUCGAAGGAGCAUUUUAGCGCGAGCAUCUGGUAUUUCAGGUUUAAAGGUUUGUAACGAGCAGUCUCAAGCUGUUCUUUCUACCCCACAGUCCCGCGAGCCAUCACUCUCGCUUCGAGGACGCAGGCUUUUAGAGGUACUGUAAGUGCUCCGAAAUACGAUUUAGCUGUGGAGCUCAGCCCUUAGUUCUUCAGUGAUUUCUGGUAUUCCCUGCCAUAUUUAUUCCGUUAACAUGAAUAAAAUGCAUUUACGGGGCGCAAACUGAGCAGCGGUCCGCCUGCCGCGCUCCAAAUUAUGAGGCUGUUAUUUAGCGGCCCUUUCUCUGAUGGUAAAGAGGGGAGAAUGAAAGAGCCGCUGGAUGCGUUUGCCAUUGACUCUGACAUUGGAGGAGAGAUUGAUUGCAGCGCUUUUGCCUUUGACACAAAUGUAUGUUUUUAAGCAAACGGGCGAAACAUCAAGUCUGUCAGGAAUAUAAAUGAGGGAGGUCCGAUAGCAGACGCGUAGCACGCCAGGCUCACUUGAAUCUAUUUUAGUUCCUUUCACUGAGAUCCAGUUGUUUUUUUACUUCUUUCACAGCCUGUGAGCGUCAGCAGUUGAAGGACCUUGGUGCAUGCGUGUCUGUUUGUUUGUGUGUUUGAGGAACCGUAUCUAUCAGGCGUUCUGGCAGCACAGUGCCAAGUCGUAUAAACUGAACCUCGGUCAAGAGGCUGCAUCCCGUCAUGAGCAAUGACCAUUAUGGGCUCCUCUCGCUGGCUCCGCUCCUGCCUUUCACUUAUGAAAAUGUGACAUCUCAAAUUCUCCUAAGAGGCGGAAACCUCUGUCUUUGUAAGUGAUGGUUCCAUUUAGAGUGAAAUAGACCAUGAAGCAUUUUUUGAUUGCCACCAAAUGUCUUCUUCGUCCCCGGGUCACUUCAGGUUCCCAAAACCAAGAUGCAGAACUCCAGCCUUCAAAAUCGGAGUUCAGAAACCAAAGGGCGACGUCUUACGUACAGCCUGGACUAGAAACACAUGAGAAUUCUCUAAACUCAACUAAUUGAUUAGCAAGUAUCUGUUAAAGCAGCACGAAGAGGCACAUUUCUGUUACAGACCUUCUCACCUUAUGUACCACGUCGUAUAGCCGGCACAUCGGCACGAUAAAACAACGCUGUCAUACACCGCUCGGGUCAUUUUCUCUGCGCUGUUAAUUCUGCAUUCUGCUGUUGCCAGAUCAACAUCUGCUACGAGACCGUCCAUGAUAAUCACAAAGCUGAAGUCGUAGAAACUGUGAGCUAUAUCGUGCAGUGAACUCUCAGUUAGUGAAUUCAGAUUGCCUUGGUGAGCAGCGUAAUGUCAAGGAUUCAAUUGUGAAAUACGUAGCUCUUUGUGUACUAUCUGCUCUUCUCACAUUAAAUUCACUUUUUUGUCCUAAUUGCCCUCCGGUCCCUCCUCCCGUCCGUCUGGCAAUUCUCUCCAGGCAAAGCUUCAUGAUACACAGUCGACAUCGUGGGACAUUUUGCGUCCACUAAUUAUCCGACCGACCUGAACAUGCUGUUGCGUAACGAUCAAAUUAUGUCAAAACGUUCUAUAUAACUGAAUAAAGAAUUAGAUUUUUCUCGAAUUACUCCAAUAUGUUACAGCUCUUAAAAAAAAAAACUGUCUUCAUUCGCUUUUAAAACAAGUUUAGGGUUUGAUUCCGCUUUCAUGUGCUAUUCCCAAGCUCAAGGGCCACUGGAGUGUUUUUCAUUUUGUAGCACAUCAGACAACACAUGUUGAGUGUCGCCGCUAUUCAGCCGGCCCGUCGCAUCGCGUUUGAUUGUAUUGAGCAAGUAGCAUAAUGUUGUUUUUUCCCCCGGACAAGAGCGGUCUGUUGAGAGCGCGGUCACCGGGUGAGGACAUUAGUUACCCCCUCCUCAUUCACACGGCGAGCUCACGGGGGCCGAAGCCGUCUCCUAGCAACCGGCAACAAAGUUUAGGCAAAUUCCUGUGUGUGGUCACGCUCGAUCAAAGCGGCGGAUGAUUUACAUUUUUUUUUUUUUUCAAUCAGAGCAACAAAAACACACUUUUGUCAGAUUAAUUAGAUACAGAAAUGAUGCUGUACACGGAAAACAGGUGUCGUUUCCCUCCUUCUGCUGCUCUUGGUCUCUGUUGCAGGAAAUACGGUGACGUGGGAGGUAAACGCACUUCUGCUUAUUAUUGAAGCAUUUAGCAUCAAAAUGAAUGAAUGCCAUCUGAGAAUAGCGUGCAAACAGGCUCCUGUUGCCUCGCAGUGUGGGACUUGUUUCACAGUGGGGGGGUUAGGGGGGGCACAGAGAGAGAAAAUGAAUUUGAGAUAGCAGUGAAAAAAGGGAGGUGGGGGCCAA
This is a long non-coding RNA of Gasterosteus aculeatus aculeatus (three-spined stickleback), 8045 nucleotides long. NCBI's taxonomy places the organism in Eukaryota, Metazoa, Chordata, Actinopteri, Perciformes, Gasterosteidae. The record is from Ensembl.